GACGAACCGUGCAAACGUUAUUCGGAAUCACUGGGCUUAAAGGGCGCGUAGGCGGGCCGCCAGGUCCGGGGUGAAAGCCUCCAGCUCAACUGGAGAAGUGCCUUGGAUACCGGCGGCCUCGAGGGAGGUAGGGGCGUGCGGAACUUCGGGUGGAGCGGUGAAAUGCGUAGAUAUCCGAAGGAACACCGGUGGCGAAAGCGGCGCGCUGGAUCUCUUCUGACGCUGAGGCGCGAAAGCCAGGGGAGCAAACGGG
RNAcentral lists this ribosomal RNA (253 nucleotides) under uncultured bacterium. Its description in RNAcentral is "partial 16S ribosomal RNA". It matches the Rfam family "Bacterial small subunit ribosomal RNA", at positions 524 to 776 of the family's 1533-position model. RNAcentral also lists the same sequence under 2 other names. The record is from RNAcentral.